UCGCUGAUGGCCCAGGCGGGCACGGUGCGCUACAACCACCCCGACCCGGCGUCGGGGCUGGUGGAGCAGGAGUACAACCACCUCUUCGUCGGGC
RNAcentral lists this transfer RNA (94 nucleotides) under Streptomyces seoulensis. Its description in RNAcentral is "tRNA-Cys". The record is from RNAcentral. Lineage: Bacteria; Bacillati; Actinomycetota; Actinomycetes; Kitasatosporales; Streptomycetaceae.